CGCUGAUGGGCUUCACUGUGGGAGCUGUCGGUCUUCUCAUGAUCCCCAGAGUCAUCAGAAUCAGCAGUCCCUUCUGAACUACUGCCUGCUGUUCUCUGCAAACACCAUGUAAACAGCUAUAUCACCACGCACAGACAGCAUGCAUGGCUGUUAGACUUUGUUAACUGGAGAGACUGGGAACAUGAGGAGGAAGAUGGCAUUGCAGAAUAUAAGCAGUAUGUGGAUAUGCUUAAUAAAACGAAGUACAAAAGAGAGCCUCCUGCAAUGGAUAUAAUGGACAAUCUUAGUGACUGACAGAGCACCACUGCCCAUGAUGAGCCUGGACAGUUUUCUAAAAUGUUAAAUGAGCAGUAAAAGCCAAUUCACAUAGCCCCAAUAAAUUUGCCAUUGUGAGCUAGACUAGACACACUAGUGUGUGUAAUAUGAAUGACUCAUGUAAGUGUAUGUAAUAUGUAACUGUCUUUUAUAACCUUUGUUACAAACAAAUGUGACCCUGGAGCACAAAAGCAGUCUCAAGUCGCUGGGGGUAUAUUUGUAGCAAUAGCCAAAAAUACGUCAAAAAUUAUAGCUUUUUCUUUUAUGACAAUAGGAUAUUACG
This is a long non-coding RNA of Carassius auratus (goldfish), 598 nucleotides long. RefSeq lists it as uncharacterized. The record is from RefSeq and is a predicted model, not a curated record. Lineage: Eukaryota; Metazoa; Chordata; Actinopteri; Cypriniformes; Cyprinidae. The transcript has 4 exons.